This 638-nucleotide ribosomal RNA is filed under the name Heterodorus brevidentatus. RNAcentral's name for it is "SSU rRNA". It matches the Rfam family "Eukaryotic small subunit ribosomal RNA", at positions 1003 to 1664 of the family's 1831-position model. Lineage: Eukaryota; Metazoa; Nematoda; Enoplea; Dorylaimida; Nordiidae. The record is from RNAcentral.
GGCGAUCAGAUACCGCCCUAGUUCUAACCGUAAACGAUGACAACCAGCGAUUAAUCGGCGUUAAUAUACGACCCGAUUAGCAGCUUCCGGGAAACCAAAGUUUUUCGUUUCCGGGGGAAGUAUGGUUGCAAAGCUGAAACUUAAAGGAAUUGACGGAAGGGCACCACCAGGAGUGGAGCCUGCGGCUUAAUUUGACUCAACACGGGAAAACUCACCCGGCCCGGACACUGUAAGGAUUGACAGACUGAGAGCUCUUUCUUAAUUCAGUGGGUGGUGGUGCAUGGCCGUUCUUAGUUGGUGGAGCGAUUUGUCUGGUUAAUUCCGAUAACGAACGAGACUCUGGCCUAUUAAAUAGACGAGGUAUUUACAUAGUACCUCGCGCUUCUUAGAGGGACAAGCGGCGUCUAGUCGCAUGAAAAAGAGCAAUAACAGGUCUGUGAUGCCCUUAGAUGUCCGGGGCUGCACGCGCGCUACACUGAAAGAAUCAGCGUGCAUUUUAACCUAGUCCGGAAGGACCGGGUAACCCGAGUAAAUUCUUUCGUGCUUGGGAUAGGGAAUUGCAAUUAUUUCCCUUAAACGAGGAAUUCCCAGUAAAUGCGGGUCAUAAGCUCGCGUUGAUUACGUCCCUGCCCUUUGUA